GCGCGGCGGCGGCGGCAGCGGAAGCGGCGAUGGCGUGUGAGGCGGAGUGCCGCCCCUUGGGUGUGUUUGAGUGCCAGCUCUGUGCCUUAACAGCUCCAUAUAGCUACGUGGGGCAGCAGCCCCCCGGCACCCAGUCUGUCGUGUGAGUACCAGGGUCCCAGCACCCCAGGGAGCCCGCCCAGAGCUGGCUGGCCUAAGUCUGACACAGGGCUUGACACAGGGUGUUGUGUCUGGGGCCACCCGGCCCAGGCUCUGGGCACUUCAGGUGUGACCCAGGAAGGCACAGGGCAAGGUUCGAGGGCCAUCCGGCUCUCCUAGAACCUCCCAGUCCCCACCUCCCUGUUCAGCCCAGAGUCCGGCAGCUGCCCCAGCUGUGGGGUGGGAGCACCGUGGCUCAGGCUGAAACAGCUCCGCAGCUGGGAACGCAGGGAGCCGCAGAGGCCAGCGCGUCUGGGGCUGGGCCUUGUCACUGGUCCCGCUGGAUCCUACGAAGACACCUUCUCAGCGGGAAGCUGCCUGCCUUGCGGCUCUUGUACUGGUGGGAGUGAGCCCUGAGGACCAGCUUCCCGUGCACCUGCCCAUGGAUGGCCCAGAGUAGAGCCAGUGGGUCCCGGGGCUUGAUUCUUGACCUUCAACUUGUCCUCCAUCAGAGGCCACCUUGUGGGGAUCUGACCGGUGCAUUACGUGGGACAGGCGGCGGGGGCCAGGCUUCUUUCCUCCGGCCCUGAGGAACCUGGGGUGUUGCCUCGGAUCCUGUUGGUCUCCUUUCUGAUGUGUGCUGUGAGGCCAGAACCUUAGCCAGGGUAAAGCGCCCUGUUCUCCCCGUGUGGAAGCAGGCAGUUUGGGAGCGGGUGUCAUCCCGGAGGUGAGGGGAGGGCUUGGAGAGCUUGCAUGGAGGUCUUGUGCCCGCCCGCCGCCCUGCUGAGUCAGGCUGGGGUCUGGGGGCUGAGUUGCAGCAGCCCUUCUUUGGGCCGAGGAGGAGUGGUUCUUUCCCUGCGGUUGACACGGAGCCCGGAGCAGGUCUCAUUUCAUCCCAGCCUGGCACCACUGCUCGCCUCCCUGCUGCUACUUGGUGGCACAGGGGGCCACCCCUCCCCGCGAUGAGCACGCAUGCCUCCUGGAGGAGAGCUACGUCAUGAGGGACCCCUUCACCCCCAACAAGGACAGAUUCCUGAUCCUCGGCUCGAGAUGCGGCUUAUGCGGCAGGCUGGUGUGCGUGGGCCCGGAAUGCAGUUUAUUCUACUCCAAGAGAUUUUGCCUCCCCUGUGUCCGGGAGAACAUUGAUGCUUUCCCUCAGGAAAUUCAGCAAGACUUGGAGAAAAGGAAAGUCCCAUCCAAGAGGCCUGCCAGCCAGCCUGGUUCUCGAACGUGAGUCCAGUCGGGUACCAGGUCCGCAGCAGUGCGCUGCACGGGGCUCCUGGCCAGCGGGCUUCUGUGGCCUGGCUCAGAGAUGGGGCCAAGCUGGGAGCCGCUGCGACCGACCUUGUUUCUGGGCCAUCGGGAGCCGUGUCUGUAGCCAAAGGGAGCUGGGGUCCGCCUGCAGCAGCAACAGGGCCAGGAGCCGCGCAGAGAGGGCGCCCAGAAGGCAGACCCCAGACCCCAGUGCUCCGAAGACCGCAGCACCCCCGCCCUCACGGCCCCCACCUUAGCGAUUGGUGAGACACUGAUUGUGGGCUCGCCACGUGCCUGCCAGUUCUUAGAGGGCAGGAACUGCUCUGUCCGAUUCUGUAGUUUCCGCAGGGCCAGUGCACACUGCCUGGAGGGUGCUAGAAACAUGUUUGAUGAGAGAAUGAAUAAAGAGCUUUUACUGGCC
This is an RNA transcript of Balaenoptera musculus (blue whale), 1813 nucleotides long. It is a transcript of the gene named cysteine rich DPF motif domain containing 1, with no coding region annotated. The transcript has 4 exons. Lineage: Eukaryota; Metazoa; Chordata; Mammalia; Artiodactyla; Balaenopteridae. The record is from RefSeq and is a predicted model, not a curated record.